GUAAGGAAUAUUGGUCAAUGGGGGCAACCCUGAACCAGCCAUGCCGCGUGAAGGAUGAAGGCGUUAUGCGUUGUAAACUUCUUUUGUAUGGGAAGAAUGACAGGGAUUUAUCCUUGGAGAGACGGUACCAUACGAAUAAGCACCGGCUAACUCCGUGCCAGCAGCCGCGGUAAUACGGAGGGUGCAAGCGUUAUCCGGAAUCACUGGGUUUAAAGGGUACGUAGGCGGUUAAUUAAGUCAGUAGUGAAAGACUGUCGCUCAACGACGGAUGUGCUAUUGAUACUGGUUAACUUGAAUCAGGUUAGAGUUGGCGGAAUGGGUCAUGUAGCGGUGAAAUGCAUAGAUAUGUCAUGGAACACCGAAAGCGAAGGCAGCUAACGAUACUUAUAUUGACGCUCAUGGACGAAAGCGUGGGUAGCGAACAGGAUUAGAUACCCCAGUAGUCC
This 446-nucleotide ribosomal RNA is filed under the name uncultured bacterium. RNAcentral describes it as "partial 16S ribosomal RNA". It matches the Rfam family "Bacterial small subunit ribosomal RNA", at positions 354 to 796 of the family's 1533-position model. The record is from RNAcentral.